This 244-nucleotide ribosomal RNA is filed under the name uncultured bacterium. RNAcentral describes it as "partial small subunit ribosomal RNA". It matches the Rfam family "Bacterial small subunit ribosomal RNA", at positions 26 to 285 of the family's 1533-position model. The record is from RNAcentral.
AGAAUCAACGCUGGCGGCGUGCCUAACACAUGCAAGUCGAACGAGAAAGUGGAGCAAUCCAUGAGUACAGUGGCGUACGGGUGAGUAACACGUGACUAACCUACCCUCGAGUGGGGAAUAACCUCGGGAAACCGGGCUAACACCGCAUAACAUCUACGGAUCAAAUGCGUAAGCAGCUUGAGGAGGGGGUCGCGGCUGAUUAGCUAGUUGGCGGGGUAAUGGCCCACCAAGGCAGUGAUCAGUA